RNAcentral lists this ribosomal RNA (253 nucleotides) under uncultured bacterium. RNAcentral describes it as "partial 16S ribosomal RNA". It matches the Rfam family "Bacterial small subunit ribosomal RNA", at positions 524 to 776 of the family's 1533-position model. The record is from RNAcentral.
UACAGAGGGUGCGUGCGUUAAUCGGAAUUACUGGGCGUAAGGGGCGCGUAGGCGGUUGUAUAAGUUAGAGGUGAAAUCCCCGGGCUUAACCUGGGAACGGCCUUUAAGACUGUACGGCUAGAGUAGUGUAGAGGGGAGUGGAAUUUCCGGUGUAGCGGUGAAACGCGUAGAUAUCGGAAAGAACACCAGUGGCGAAGGCGGCUCCCUGGACACAUACUGACGUUGAGGCGCGAAAGCAUGGGUAGCAAACAGG